This 389-nucleotide unclassified non-coding RNA is filed under the name soil metagenome. Its description in RNAcentral is "partial contains 5.8S ribosomal RNA, internal transcribed spacer 2, and large subunit ribosomal RNA". The stretch from base 1 to 120 matches the Rfam family "5.8S ribosomal RNA", at positions 35 to 154 of the family's 154-position model. The record is from RNAcentral.
GAUGAAGAACGUAGCGAAAUGCGAUAAGUAAUGUGAAUUGCAGAAUUCAGUGAAUCAUCGAAUCUUUGAACGCACCUUGCGCUCCUUGGUAUUCCGAGGAGCAUGCCUGUUUGAGUGUCAUUAAAUUCUCAACCUUAUUAGCUUUUGCUGAUAAUGGCUUGGACUUGGGGGUCUUUUUGCUGGCUUUCAUUAGUCUGCUCCCCUUACAUGUAUUAGCCGGUGCCCCGCAGUGGAACCGUCUAUUGGUGUGAUAAUUAUCUACGCCGUGGACGUCUGCUAUAAUGGGUUUGCGCUGCUUCUAACCGUCUCUCGGGACAACACAAAUGACAAUUUGACCUCAAAUCAGGUAGGACUACCCGCUGAACUUAAGCAUAUCAAUAAGCGGAGGA